Long non-coding RNA from Serinus canaria (Common canary), 2958 nucleotides. RefSeq lists it as uncharacterized. The transcript has 5 exons. NCBI's taxonomy places the organism in Eukaryota, Metazoa, Chordata, Aves, Passeriformes, Fringillidae. The record is from RefSeq and is a predicted model, not a curated record.
AGUAUGUUUUAAAGCCUUUGCAAAACAUCUGCAAGGGGAAAAGCUUUGAACUUUGUCUACAAGGGGGAAAAUGUUAGAACUUCUAAAGAAAUUGAAGAGUCCACAGUAAGAUGAAAAAGUAUUCAGAAGGAUGAAAUAUUACCCACAUAAGUUCAAUCAUACUAAAUUUUCCCUUGUGAUCUACAAUUUUUCUGAAGGAACAUGGGUAGAAUCUUUAAAGAUUCAGUGGUGCUCAGUAUGUCAAAACACUGGAGCAGCUGUAAGAUCAGAACACAAAGGCCAACAAGCAAAGAUGCAGCACCCGGGAAUGUAAUUAAGGUAAAAUAAAAGGUGGUUAUAUGGGUUCCAUGGUAGUUGCUAUUUAAAUAAUCCUAACUGAACUGCACCACUGUACAAAAAAAUAAAUAAAUAAAAAAAAAUUAAUCAAGUCUUGCAGGUUUGUGCUUAUGCAACUUGAAAACAAAAUCUAUCAGUUGAGCCAGGUCCUUGGCACUACUCCAAUAGCUCAAAACAGGUCUAGAGCCAGCUUAACUGCCCCAGCCAUAAGUAUUUUCACUUCUCCAGAAACAGCUCUGCCAGGCAUAGGCCUGCUGAGACAGGGUACUCUUCCCUGCUUCUGAACUCUGACUCCCAGAACAUAGAAACAAAAGGCAUGGGAAGCAAGGACCUGCUCUGCAGUGUAGCUCUGCCACUAGAAUGCUCCCCCUGGGCUAAGAACAGCUGAUUAAUUCUUUAAAUAACAAAACAAACUCCAAGAUAAUUAAACAAAAUGUUUGUCAUAUCUUUCUUCUCCUAUGCUCCAUUUUGCUUUGUUUUGUUUUAUUGUUUUUGUUUGUGUUUUUUAAUUCUUCAUCUUUGGAGAUAGGAUAGAAUAAGCAUUAAGAAACUAUUUUAUGUCGGCUGAUAGGGUUUGGGCAUGUUUGCUUUUCCUUGGUCUUUAGUGAAUCAUCCAGGGUAUCAUUUUAGAAUUCCUGUUGCUUGUUUUAUACAAACAUGCUCUCAAGCUUCCGUCUGAUGAGAAAGUAAUGACAAUUUGUAGAGUAAUGAAAAGGUGUCAACAUUUUACAAUGUUGAAAAUUGUUAAUAAUCAAUAUCAAAAAGUUUUAAUCUGUUGACAGCCAUCUACUUGAUUUAUACGUCUGGCUGCCCUACUGUCUCUUCUUUCAGGCUAACUGGAGUCUGCUCAGAGCUAUGUGUCUUUGUACAGUGGUUACUCUGGAAACAUGGAGGAAGCCGCUCUCCAAAGCAAGGGCUUGAGCUGAAGGCCUGAGCAAGAAGUAGUCCAGGCAGUACAUGUGAUUUUCCCAGGUGCAUGAAACCCUAGGUCAAAGAAAGAUCUUCCCCUGUAUCCUAUUUUGGAAGGUUAGGUAGCAACAGGGAUGAACACAUGGCAACCAAAAAAUUAAAAGGCAACACAGCUCUGAAGAGGAGUUUUUAGCCAUCAAUUUGAUUGUAUGGACUUCAUGAUGGGUUUCAUUGGACUACAUCUAAAGCUCCAACCCAGAAACAGUGAAAAUGUGCGGGCUGCAGCCACACUCAGGCACAGCUCCUGCUGCACCAUGGGCUGGUCCUGGCACUGACAGCUGAGAAGAGACAAGAGACAGGAGAAACCUAGGGAAGAGAGGAGGAUACAGGUGACACCAAGGAAAAGUUCAAUCACUGGCCAAACACCAGGCAAUUUAGCAGCAGCAGAACUAAGAACAAGGACUCAACAUGCUGAAUAUACUCUGGCAGCUUCCUCAAGGUGAACAAGCAAAACCUUAGUUGAAGCAAGACACACACCCUUGGGAGGAUUUCAGCUGACAUCUGAGGUCUUCUGAGCCUGCACAGGGAGGACUGAUUUGCUCCUUUUCACACAAGGUUUUACAAACUACAUCACAAUUUACCUUUGCUGCCCUUGUGUGUGGGAAUGUGUAACAGGACUGAAAGGGGCCAGCUGGAAAAGAGACAGUUGCUACCUUCUUGAUACACUAGUUGUUUCUAGCUCUUCAGUAGGUGAGUUAGGCAGCUCAUAACAUCCCAAAGAAUGGCCCUGUGAUGUCUGGCCCUAUGAAGUUAAGAAGAGGCUUCUAAAAGGACAGAGAAGAUAUAUCUCUUAAUAUGAGUUUGAUAAAACCCAACUGAAUUACCACCACCUCUUCUCAGUGAACGUGUCAGUGUUUGAACUGAGGACCCAUCAAGGGCAGGAGAGGAAAUCACACACUUCAGCAGCUUGAACUCACCUCUUGAGUUUCUCCUGAUGUCUAAAAAAGACAGAGGGAGCUUCCCUUUUGCACCCUCUGUUGCAUAUGAGCUCCAGAUGCGUACAUGCUAUUUUCAGUCAGAGGAUACAGAUGUCAUUAAAUAUGCUGGUGAUCUGCUUCAGUCUAUUGAAAUUUUUUUAAUCUGAGAUCAACACCCAAAAAAAGUAUUUGAAGACUCAGCAUGAAGAGGGGAAACAACUGCAAUGAAAGUUGUAGUUCCCAUAUUACCAAAACAAGGUGUAGGGCACAGAUCAUACCCAGUACCAGUCCUGACAACUGUUCAGGAGAUCUUUCAGGACCUCUGGAAAAAGUAAAAAACAUUCCAACAUGGUGUUUUCUACUCACAUGGUAGUAGGGUUAUGAAGUAGCUUUUCAUGACCCAUUCAGUUUUCCUUUUAUAGCAGCCUAUUUAUAUACUCCAAUUCAGUCACAGCUUCCACUGUACUGAUUACUAGAGUGCUCAUUUCCUCAUUUUGAACUGCGCAUGCAUUUCUUCAUUUUUAUUCACUCCUUAUUAGAUCUGUUAGCCUUGCAUUACCCCUCCAUGGUGUUGCUUAGCCUCUCCUAGGCUUCUUUUCUAGGGGCACUUGUCUCACUGACAACCAAGUAACCAAUAAAAUAAAUGUUUUAAGAAAUGCUUUCCAUUUUUUACAUUUUUAAACACACGAAGAAUAGAUUCAAUACAGUAUUUGAGCAGUGGUUCAGCAUCACUCAA